RNAcentral lists this ribosomal RNA (627 nucleotides) under uncultured bacterium. RNAcentral describes it as "bacterial SSU rRNA". It matches the Rfam family "Bacterial small subunit ribosomal RNA", at positions 254 to 882 of the family's 1533-position model. The record is from RNAcentral.
GGGGUAACAGCCCACCAAGACGAUGAUAGGUAGGGGUUCUGAGAGGAAGGUCCCCCACAUUGGAACUGAGACACGGUCCAAACUCCUACGGGAGGCAGCAGUGAGGAAUAUUGGUCAAUGGACGAGAGUCUGAACCAGCCAAGUCGCGUGAGGGAAGACUGCCCUAUGGGUUGUAAACCUCUUUUAUAAGGGAAGAAUAAGUUCUACGUGUAGAAUGAUGCCUGUACCUUAUGAAUAAGCAUCGGCUAACUCCGUGCCAGCAGCCGCGGUAAUACGGAGGAUGCGAGCGUUAUCCGGAUUUAUUGGGUUUAAAGGGUGCGUAGGCGGUUUAUUAAGUUAGUGGUUAAAUAUUUGAGCUAAACUCAAUUGUGCCAUUAAUACUGGUAAACUGGAGUACAGACGAGGUAGGCGGAAUAAGUUAAGUAGCGGUGAAAUGCAUAGAUAUAACUUAGAACUCCGAUAGCGAAGGCAGCUUACCAGACUGUAACUGACGCUGAUGCACGAGAGCGUGGGUAGCGAACAGGAUUAGAUACCCUGGUAGUCCACGCCGUAAACGAUGCUCACUGGUUCUGUGCGAUAUAUUGUACGGGAUUAAGCGAAAGUAUUAAGUGAGCCACCUGGGGAGUA